This 288-nucleotide ribosomal RNA is filed under the name uncultured bacterium. Its description in RNAcentral is "partial 16S ribosomal RNA". It matches the Rfam family "Bacterial small subunit ribosomal RNA", at positions 45 to 334 of the family's 1533-position model. The record is from RNAcentral.
AUGCCUUACACAUGCAAGUCGAACGGCAGCACGGGGGCAACCCUGGUGGCGAGUGGCGAACGGGUGAGUAAUAAAUCGGAACGUGCCCAGUAGUGGGGGAUAACCAGUCGAAAGAUUGGCUAAUACCGCAUACGACCUACGGGUGAAAGCGGGGGAUCGCAAGACCUCGCGCUAUCGGAGCGGCCGAUUUCCGAUUAGCUAGUUGGUGAGGUAAAAGCUCACCAAGGCGACGAUCGGUAGCUGGUCUGAGAGGACGGCCAGCCACACUGGGACUGAGACACGGCCCAG